RNAcentral lists this long non-coding RNA (4160 nucleotides) under Gossypium barbadense (sea-island cotton). Its description in RNAcentral is "long non-coding RNA (GBAR_LNC013862)". Lineage: Eukaryota; Viridiplantae; Streptophyta; Magnoliopsida; Malvales; Malvaceae. The record is from RNAcentral.
CCGCCUUAUGAGUAUAAGUCACCACCACCGCCUUCUCCUUCUCCACCACCGCCUUAUGUGUAUAAAUCUCCACCACCACCACCUAAACAUGAGGAGAAGCCUUAUGAAUACAAGUCUCCACCACCACCACCACCAAAGGAGAAGCCUUAUGAGUACAAGUCUCCACCCCCACCAUCACCUUCUCCUCCACCUCCUUAUGAGUACAAAUCUCCACCACCUCCAUCACCUUCUCCACCACCUCCUUAUGUGUAUAAGUCUCCACCACCUCCACCAAAGCAUGAGGAGAAGCCUUAUGAAUACAAGUCUCCACCACCACCACCGAAGGAGAAGCCUUAUGAAUACAAGUCUCCACCACCACCACCGAAGGAGAAGCCUUAUGAAUACAAGUCUCCACCACCACCACCGAAAGAGAAGCCUUAUGAAUACAAGUCUCCACCACCUCCAUCACCUUCUCCACCACCUCCUUAUGUGUAUAAGUCUCCUCCACCUCCACCAAAGCAUGAGGAGAAGCCUUAUGAAUACAAGUCUCCACCACCACCACCGAAGGAGAAGCCUUAUGAAUACAAGUCUCCACCACCACCACCUCCAUCUCCAUCACCACCUCCUCCAUACUACUAUAAAUCUCCACCACCUCCAUCACCAUCACCACCACCUCCAUACUACUACAAGUCCCCACCACCACCACCAAAGCAUGAAGAACAACCACCAUAUUACUACAAGUCACCUCCUCCUCCAUCUCCAUCACCACCUCCUCCAUACUACUACAAGUCCCCACCACCUCCUUCACCAUCACCACCACCUCCAUACUACUACAAGUCUCCACCACCACCAAAACACGUAGAGCAACCCCCAUACUACUACAAGUCUCCUCCACCUCCAUCACCCUCACCACCACCACCUUACUACUAUAAAUCUCCACCACCACCUUCACCAUCUCCACCACCUCCUUACUACUACAAGUCCCCACCACCUCCAUCUCCAUCACCACCUCCUCCAUACUACUACAAAUCUCCACCACCACCACCAAAGCAUGAAGAACAACCCCCAUACUACUACAAGUCUCCACCACCACCUUCACCAUCUCCUCCACCACCUUACUACUACAAAUCUCCACCACCACCCCCACAUUACGUCUCACCACCAUACUACUACAAAUCUCCACCACCACCAGUGAAGUCUCCUCCCUACUACUACCAUUCUCCUCCACCACCAACUCCUUACUACCCCCACCCCCACCCUCACCCCCACCCCCACCCACAUCCGCUCAUAGUCAGGGUGGUCGGAAAAGUUUACUGCUACAGAUGCUAUGACUCAAGCUACCCAGAGAAAUCACACGGCAAGAAACAUCUCGAAGGUAAAUUAAUUCAUACAUUAAUGCAUUUAUUAAUUGAUUUAUUUUCAAUUUCGUAUGUUUUAUUUAUUUCUUAGUUUCAAAUUUUUGUGGAACUUUGUCACGUGAUUUAGAGGUUAAAAUAAGAUGUUUAUGAAUAUUUUAAUUCAAAUAGACGUAAACAUAAUAAUUAAAGGAAUCUGAAGUUAUUCUUCUGGAAGUUUAAAAAAAAUUAAAAAAUAGAUUAUAAAAAUAAACAAAGUCUGUUUUUGUUUCUUAUAUGUUUGAAAAUAAAUUAUGACUCUAUUGUCUGUCUAUGUAAUAUUUUUAUAUAAUUUAAUAUUCAAUUCAUAAUAAUUUAAUGAUAAAAACUAUUGUUAUAAAUUACUCUAAAAUUAUAGCUUUCUUUAUUAAGGGCUGCACCAUAUAUGGAUGCACAAGUCAACAUAAGUAGUGAACACAUAAGUCAUGUCUAUGGAAAAACUGUUUUUUUUUUUUUUGAUUAAAUUAAUUCAUGGAAAGACAAAAUUAGUUAUAAAAUAGUUGAUGUCUAAAUAGAAAAAAGAUAUUUUGAUUGACUUUUUAGCAAAAAAGAAACUAAAUUUUCAAUUAUUGCACAUGGAGCAGGUGCUACUGUGGAAGUGACUUGCAAGGAGGGUGAAAAGGAAAUCACUGUCUAUGGAAAGACCAAAAACAACGGCAAAUUUGCUGUCACUGUUGAUGGGUUUGAUUAUGGCAAAUACGGAGCCAAGGCAUGCAUUGCCAAGCUUCAUGCCCCACCCAAGGGUUCAUCAUGCAACAUACCCAUGAGUGUACAUGAUGGCAUCAAGGGUGCUGUGCUCAAGGUCAAGUCAGAGGACAAUUAUGAGGUUGUGCUAAGAGCUAAGCCAUUUGGUUAUGGUUCAAAGAAACCUUACAAGAAGUGUGAAAAGUACACUCCUAAGCCUCCGACUCAUCCGUACAAGCCACCACCGUACUACUAUAAGUCUCCACCUCCUCCGGCUCCCACUUACGUUUACAAGUCACCACCUCCACCAUCACCAACUUAUGUUUACAAGUCACCUCCACCUCCUGUGUACUACUACAAGUCUCCACCACCACCAAAGCAUGUGGAACAACCUCCAUACUACUAUAAGUCUCCACCUCCACCGGCUCCCACUUAUGUUUACAAGUCACCACCUCCACCAUCGCCGACUUAUGUUUACAAGUCACCUCCACCACCUGUGUACUACUACAAAUCACCACCACCACCCACUUAUGUCUACAAGUCUCCACCACCACCAAAGCAUGUAGAGCAGCCCCCGUACUACUACAAAUCUCCUCCACCACCAUCGCCAUCUCCUCCUCCACCAUACUAUUACAAGUCCCCACCACCACCAGUUCACUCUCCACCACCACCAUACUACUACAAGUCCCCACCACCACCAAAACAUGUGGAGCAACCUCCAUACUACUACAAAUCUCCUCCUCCACCAUCGCCAUCUCCUCCACCACCAUACUACUACAAAUCCCCACCACCACCAAAACAUGUAGAGGAGCCCCCAUACUACUACAAAUCUCCUCCACCACCAUCACCAUCUCCUCCUCCACCAUACUACUACAAGUCCCCACCACCACCAAAACAUGUGGAGCAACCUCCAUACUACUACAAAUCACCCCCACCACCAUCGCCAUCUCCUCCUCCACCAUACUACUACAAGUCCCCACCACCACCGAAGCAUGUAGAGGAGCCCCCAUACUACUACAAGUCUCCCCCACCACCAUCGCCAUCUCCUCCUCCACCAUACUAUUACAAAUCUCCUCCACCACCAUCACCAUCUCCUCCUCCACCAUACUACUACAAGUCCCCACCACCACCGAAACAUGUAGAGGAGCCCCCAUACAUCUACAAAUCUCCUCCACCACCAUCGCCAUCUCCUCCUCCACCAUACUACUACAAGUCCCCACCACCCCCGAAGCAUGUAGAGGAGCCCCCAUACUACUACAAGUCUCCCCCACCACCAUCGCCAUCUCCUCCUCCACCAUACUAUUACAAAUCUCCUCCACCACCAUCGCCAUCUCCUCCUCCACCAUACUACUACAAGUCCCCACCACCACCGAAACAUGUAGAGGAGCCCCCAUACAUCUACAAAUCUCCUCCACCACCAUCGCCAUCUCCUCCACCACCAUACUAUUACAAGUCCCCACCACCACCAGCCCAUUCCCCACCACCACCAUACUACUACAAGUCUCCACCACCACCAGUCCACUCCCCACCCCCACCAUACUAUUACAAGUCUCCACCACCACCUUCUCCUUCACCACCUCCACCAUACUAUUACAAGUCCCCACCACCACCAUCACCAUCUCCUCCUCCACCAUAUUAUUACAAGUCCCCACCACCACCAGUCCACUCUCCACCACCACCAUACUAUUACAAAUCCCCUCCUCCACCAUCGCCAUCUCCUCCUCCACCAUACUACUACAAAUCCCCACCACCACCAGUCCACUCUCCACCCCCACCAUACUACUACAAAUCCCCACCACCACCAUCUCCUUCACCACCUCCACCAUACUACUACAAAUCACCCCCACCUCCAGUGAAGGCUCCAGCACCUACCUACCAUUACAACUCCCCUCCUCCACCAUCACCAUCUCCUCCUCCCCCAUACUACUACAAAUCUCCCCCACCACCAGUCCACUCUCCCCCACCACCAUACUACUACAAAUCUCCACCUCCUCCAUCUCCCUCACCACCUCCUCCAUACUACUACCACUCACCUCCCCCACCUGUGAAAUCACCUCCACCUCCAGUCUACAUCUACGCUUCUCCUCCACCACCAACACCCUA